UAGCUCAGUUGGUAGAGCAGUUGACUUUUAAUCAAUUGGUCGCAGGUUCGAAUCCUG
RNAcentral lists this transfer RNA (57 nucleotides) under Klebsiella aerogenes. Its description in RNAcentral is "tRNA-Lys". It matches the Rfam family "tRNA", at positions 8 to 62 of the family's 71-position model. Rfam says of the family: Transfer RNA (tRNA) molecules are approximately 80 nucleotides in length. Lineage: Bacteria; Pseudomonadati; Pseudomonadota; Gammaproteobacteria; Enterobacterales; Enterobacteriaceae. RNAcentral also lists the same sequence under 21 other names. The record is from RNAcentral.